GUUUGUUAAAUAGAUCACCAAUGAAGUGACGAAUUUCCAAAACCACUAUAUAUAGUCUACUCUCUUUAGGGCUUCUUUCAUUUACGUAUCUGAAACACAACGAAGUGACGAAUUUCCAAAAUUACUCAUACAGAUCCAUCACCGAUCAUCGGAACAGCUCUACCACAACGUGGUGGUCUCCGUGGAAUUCGGAGCUCCUAUUUCCACAAUUCAAAUCCAACUUCCCAAUCAACCAAAGAAUAAAUGCUUCUUCCACAGCUUUAGAAGGAAGACAGAGUCCGAGAUACGAUGACCCCAAAACUUCCAAAUUUGCAUUUUUAAGAAAUUGAAGGAAAAUGUAGGCUGCAAAUACAAAUCCUAUACAUUGCAUAAAGAAGAAACCAGUCAAAAAU
This is a long non-coding RNA of Quercus lobata, 392 nucleotides long. RefSeq lists it as uncharacterized. The record is from RefSeq and is a predicted model, not a curated record. NCBI's taxonomy places the organism in Eukaryota, Viridiplantae, Streptophyta, Magnoliopsida, Fagales, Fagaceae. The transcript is spliced from 3 exons.